AUGGUGGGGCACGUGCUGUGCUCGCAGUGCCGCGACAAGCUGGCCUCGGCGCGGAUCUGCCACAUCUGCCGCGCUCCGAUGGACGGGGGUUACCGCCGAAGCCACGCCAUGGAGAAGCUGGUGGAGUCCAUCCGGGCGCCGUGCCCCAACGCCCCAAACCGGCAUACCACGACCUCCAGCCUCACAUCAAGUCCUGCCUGCACGCGCCGUGCCACUGCCCUGAGGAAGCCUGCGGCUUCGCCGGGAGCACGGAGACGCUCCUGGUCCACUUCACCGCGGGGCACGGGUGGCCGUGCACCGCCGACGUCCGCGCCGAGGAGUCGUUCCACAUGGAACUCCGUGAGGGCUUCAACGUCGUUGAUGUCGCCGACCUCGAUGGCGCCACGAAGCUGCUGUUCCUGGUAA
RNAcentral lists this ribosomal RNA (405 nucleotides) under Triticum aestivum (bread wheat). Its description in RNAcentral is "partial small subunit ribosomal RNA". The record is from RNAcentral. Lineage: Eukaryota; Viridiplantae; Streptophyta; Magnoliopsida; Poales; Poaceae.